AAAAAAAGAUCCAUUUCUGCCACCUGCCCUGAGAACCUCUGGCCUUGCGCCAGCCAGCAGCCUCGCUUUUCAUUACAAGGACGAGUCUGACACCAACGUGGGGAGGAGCCCAGAGUCCCAUUUCCUGUGGCAGCAGCUGGUCAAGUCUCUUUAUAAACCUGAUAAUGCCUUUGAGUUCUGCUAGACUCAUACUCACCGGGAGGAAAGUUACAUAACUGGAAAUGAUUAGAAGAUAAGGCUUCGAGCACCAUGCUACCCAAUUUGGGGAUGAGUUCUUAACGCCUCAGCAUUUUCUCCUCGGGAAGCCUUACAGGGUAUGAAAGCGCACCUUCAAAUAACGGCAGACACCUGCGAAGCAAAUUGUUAUGGGAACAUACCGCUGGUCCCAUACCAGCAACUGGACCCUGGCCCUCAUGUGGCCCAACCAAAAAAAAAAGGAAGUUAUCCUUACACAGGGUUCAAGACAGGAAACCCAAAUGCCCGUAAGCAUAUUCAAAGGUGCUCAGCCCCUUUAGUCAGCAGGAAGAUGCAAAUGAAAACCACAGUGAGAGUCCAGAGCAGACCAAAAAAAAAUCAGAGCCAAGGUCGCUUCUGGUGGGUGGGGGCAGGGACUAACAGGGGAAGGGGCUUGAAGGCUACGGCCACGCUCUGUAACUUGAUGGGUUUGGGGCCACGCAGGUAGGUGUAGGUAGCUGCCAAAACUCACCAAAGGACUUACGUAAACACACUGGACGAUAUGUCAAUUAAACCUCAAAGGAAUAAAAUAAGUGCCCGCCCUGUGCUGUGGUUAGUGCUCUGUAUGCUGAAGCUUUUAGGGUGAGGGGUAGGUACAGAUGUUCUCAGCUUACCUGGAAAUGCCUCCCCCCAAAAUACAAUGGAUGGAUGGAGAGAAGAACAGAUCUAUGUUAAAGCAAGCAAAAUAAAGUGCUAAUGACAGGGAACGAUAGCCGGUCUCCAGGGAUAAAGCAAGAUCACAGAAGAAGAGGAGGAGUUCCCGUUGUGACUCGGUGGGUUAAGAACCCGACAGUGUCCGCGAGGUGUGAUUCCUAGCCUUGCUCAGUGGGUUAAGGAUCCGGCAUUGUCAUGAGCUGCAGCACAGGUCACAGAGGUGGUUCACAUCCCACGUUGCUGUGGCCGGGCUGUAGGUGGGUAGCUGCGGCUCCAAUUCGACCCCUGGCCUGGGAACUUCCUCAUGCCUCAGGUGCGUGUUCCCCCCAACCCCCCGCCAAAAAAAAAGAAGACAGAGAAAGAGAAUGUGUGUGUGUGUAUACACACAAAUAUGACUGGGUCACUCUGCUGUACAGAAGAAAUUGGCAGAACAUUGUAAAUCAACUAUACUUUAAUUAAAAAAUAAAUGAGUGAGGAGUGGGGACUACGAAAUUCUCACAAUUUUUCUGGACAUUUGUAAUUUUUCAUAAUAAAACACUGAAGUUGUUUAGAUGGAAAAGGGAAAGAUAAAACAUGCAACGUGAGACUAAUACACACGCAUCCAAAUGUCUGAAAUUCCAAAGGCCACGCAUGGCAAGCGGGGGCCAGGAUGUGGUGCAACCGGAACUGAGACAAUGCUGGCCGAAAAAUAGCAAAAGGUCCCAGGGAAAGAGGACUCCCACGUGCCCACUCCUGGGUCACUAUGGCCAGAGGGAGUCAGGUCAAGCCUGGAUCACAGGGCCCCCUUCAGGGUUCAAGGGUAUCACCAGCUCCAACAAAAGCAUUCCUUUUCUCUGCAUCCCCCACACCUGUGGUUCUCCAAAGAAAAAGGGAGACGCUAGUACCAGAAUAAGGAGAGUGAGGGACAGUAAAGAAGAGCUACCUACACAGUCGGUGGCAUCUGUGCCCCCUAACUCAAGCAUCCGAGCAGAUUUCUACCAUGGCCCCUGGAGGAAGGUCACGGUCUUUGAACUUGAACUUCCUCAGGCCUCACACAUUUCAGCUGUCAAUCCACUUGGUGGUUAUGUGGAUCAAAUAUGCCCACUACUUAGGCAGCAACAUCCAAUGACAGAUGAGGAAGCCAAAGAGAGGCAGACAACGUGCCCAUCAGCCCCCACUCCACAGGUGCACACUGGCCCCUCUGAAGAUGCACAGAUGCUGCGCCUUGGCCAUGAACCAGCCCUUCUCUGGCCGACGGGCUGAGGGAGCAGGAACUGCUCCAUAUGAGAAUCACACAACCUGUUUUCAGAGAGCUGGGCACACUUGUUUCAGGAGGGGGUAAAAAAAAUCCCAUGAAUCCUCUCUCUCCAGGAGGGGCCUACAUGUUUUAGGAAUGGUGUGAACCAUGCCUAGCUGUCAUUUCCUAAAUUUCUUUAAAGGACUCAAUUUAUCCUUCAAGUUUCUCAGGAUCCCCC
This 2342-nucleotide long non-coding RNA is filed under the name Sus scrofa (pig). RNAcentral's name for it is "lncRNA (ENSSSCG00045022437.1)". Lineage: Eukaryota; Metazoa; Chordata; Mammalia; Artiodactyla; Suidae. The record is from RNAcentral.